GGCUCUUUAGCUCAGUUGGUAGAGCAACAGACUCUUAAUCUGGAGGUCCUGGGUUCGAACCCCAGAAGGGUCACCA
This 76-nucleotide transfer RNA is filed under the name Clostridia bacterium. RNAcentral's name for it is "tRNA-Lys". It matches the Rfam family "tRNA". Rfam says of the family: Transfer RNA (tRNA) molecules are approximately 80 nucleotides in length. Their secondary structure includes four short double-helical elements and three loops (D, anti-codon, and T loops). The record is from RNAcentral. Lineage: Bacteria; Bacillati; Bacillota; Clostridia.